AUACGGAGGGUGCGAGCAUUAAUCGGAUUUACUGGGCGUAAAGAGCGCGUAGGCGGGGAUGAAAGUCAGAUGUGAAAGCCCGAAACUCAACUUCGGAACGGCAUCCGAAACUUCAUCUCUUGAGGAUAGGCGGAGAAAGUGGAAUUCCACGAGUAGCGGUGAAAUGCGUAGAUACGUGGAAGAACACCGGUGGCGAAGGCGACUUUCUAGCUUAUUACUGACGCUGAGGCGCGAAAGCAAGGGUAGCAAACAGGAUUAGAAACCCCGGUAGUCC
This 274-nucleotide ribosomal RNA is filed under the name uncultured bacterium. RNAcentral describes it as "partial 16S ribosomal RNA". It matches the Rfam family "Bacterial small subunit ribosomal RNA", at positions 523 to 796 of the family's 1533-position model. The record is from RNAcentral.